UUCAACAUUUGUUGAAUUAGAGAGCUAGAGAGAGAAGCUCCAGCCAUGGCAGCUCACGCCCAUGGCUGUGCAAAUUGAGCUCACAAUUCUUGAUGCCAAAUUUAAUUUUCUAAGGUGUUCCAAUCACUUAAAGACCAUUAGCAACGUGAAUUUGAGCAUUGGGGGCAGCAUGAACGUUUGUAUUUAAAUUCAUCAACUUCAGCAACGUUAAGGAGUUAAACUUGUUAAGGUUGAGACACUACGGGCAGCGUAUACGUAUUGUAUUACGGAUAAGCGUUGAAGGUGUAGAUACUCGCUUUGGUGAUCCUCCAGCUUAGGACUUCUACUCAGCUGUCUUGGAGUGCUCCAUUGUUUCGGAGCCUAGACUUUUGGUACAGAUCCUUUUGAUGUAUAUAUAUAUGUUUAUCCAGGGGUACGGCGGGGCCUUGUCCCGUCAUAUGUCACUAUUGAUACUCUUAGAGGUCUGUAGACAUAUGUGUGGGUUGUGUACAGAUGUUGUUCGGCUGUGUUAGCAUGACUUAUAUUUGGGACGUUCCCAUACGUAGUGGCAGCCUUGUCGGCUUGCAUAUAUAUUUUGGGAUGUUCCCGUAUGUAGUGGCAGCCUUGCCGGCUUGCGUGUUAUGUCAUGCUUGAUUGAUUGUGACUCCUCAGGAGAAAGGUUACCUUGAUGUAUAUAUAUAUGUGACAGU
Lycium barbarum (goji berry) is the source of this 689-nucleotide long non-coding RNA. RefSeq lists it as uncharacterized. The transcript is spliced from 3 exons. The record is from RefSeq and is a predicted model, not a curated record. Lineage: Eukaryota; Viridiplantae; Streptophyta; Magnoliopsida; Solanales; Solanaceae.